RNAcentral lists this long non-coding RNA (588 nucleotides) under Carica papaya (papaya). RNAcentral describes it as "long non-coding RNA (CPAP_LNC014112)". Lineage: Eukaryota; Viridiplantae; Streptophyta; Magnoliopsida; Brassicales; Caricaceae. The record is from RNAcentral.
UUGACUAUCAAUAGCUAGUUAAAUAUUUAUUAGUGAAUACAUAAGUUGUGAGUAAUUUUCAGGUAAAUACGAAAAAAGAAUACAUAAGUUGAAAUAAUUCCAGGGAUAUUAGUUUUUCCUCUCAAAAAAUACUAAAAUUUGCCACGUGUAAAGCGCCGCCAUUAAGAGAUGCAAAUUCGGCUUAAUCGUCAGACAUGUCAUAUCCGAUUGUCCACUUUGUAUUCCACGUGGUGCUUGAAUGUUACCCAUUAAGGACAAGCCACGUGGCGUCGCGGUCGGCUGAAGCAAAGAAAUGUUGAUUCACGUGGUCCUUGGAGGAGAUCACUAAACGUCCACGUUUCGACACGUCAGCAUGCCAGCUGCAUCCAGCUACUUCCUCGCGAUCUUUGCCACGAUGAACGGGCAACUCCGUCCUCAUUCCUAGCCGUCUGAUCGCACUAUCAUCCGGCCUUUUCCUUUUUUUUUUUUUUAUUAUUUUUUUUCUUCAACAUACGAGACACAACGUGAGUCUCAUUUCUCAUUAAAUUAAUCACUUUUAAAACAUGAUCAUUAAAAAUUAAUUGACCACUUAUUUAAUAUAUAUGUGAU